Cercocebus atys (sooty mangabey) is the source of this 118-nucleotide ribosomal RNA. Lineage: Eukaryota; Metazoa; Chordata; Mammalia; Primates; Cercopithecidae. The record is from Ensembl.
AUUUAUAGCCAUACCACCCUGAAUGUGCCCAAUCUCGUCUGAUCUUGGAAGCCAAGCAGGGUUGGGGCUGGUUAGUGCUUGGAGGGGAAACUGCCAGGAAUACCAGGUGCUGUAGGUU